This 403-nucleotide ribosomal RNA is filed under the name uncultured bacterium. RNAcentral's name for it is "bacterial SSU rRNA". It matches the Rfam family "Bacterial small subunit ribosomal RNA", at positions 356 to 773 of the family's 1533-position model. The record is from RNAcentral.
GGGGAAUAUUGGUCAAUGGGGGAAACCCUGAACCAGCAACGCCGCGUGAAGGAAGAAGGCCUUCGGGUUGUAAACUUCUUUGACGAGGGAAGAAAAAAAUGACGGUACCUCGAAAACAAGCCACGGCUAACUACGUGCCAGCAGCCGCGGUAAUACGUAGGUGGCAAGCGUUGUCCGGAAUUACUGGGUGUAAAGGGCGUGUAGGCGGGUCUGUAAGUCAGGUGUGAAAUUCAAGGGCUUAACCCUUGAACUGCAUUUGAGACUGCGGAUCUUGAGUGAUGGAGAGGUAAGUGGAAUUCCUAGUGUAGCGGUGAAAUGCGUAGAUAUUAGGAGGAACACCAGUGGCGAAGGCGACUUACUGGACAUUAACUGACGCUGAGGCGCGAAAGCGUGGGGAGCAAAC